CGGAAAGGCCCUUCGGGGUACUCGAGCGGCGAACGGGUGAGUAACACGUGAGUAACCUGCCCCUGACUCUGGGAUAAGCCCGGGAAACUGGGUCUAAUACCGGAUACGACCACUCCACGCAUGUGGUGGUGGUGGAAAGUUUUUUCGGUUGGGGAUGGGCUCGCGGCCUAUCAGCUUGUUGGUGGGGUAGUGGCCUACCAAGGCGACGACGGGUAGCCGGCCUGAGAGGGCGACCGGCCACACUGGGACUGAGACACGGCCCAGACUCCUACGGGAGGCAGCAGUGGGGAAUCUUGCGCAAUGGGCGAAAGCCUGACGCAGCGACGCCGCGUGGGGGAUGACGGCCUUCGGGUUGUAAACCUCUUUCAGCAGGGACGAAGGUGACGUGUACCUGCAGAAGAAGCGCCGGCUAACUACGUGCCAGCAGCCGGGGGUAAUUCCA
Molecule: ribosomal RNA, 442 nt
Filed under: Nonomuraea sp. YN-8-13
Lineage: Bacteria; Bacillati; Actinomycetota; Actinomycetes; Streptosporangiales; Streptosporangiaceae
Description: bacterial SSU rRNA
Rfam family: Bacterial small subunit ribosomal RNA
Source: RNAcentral